Molecule: ribosomal RNA, 530 nt
Filed under: uncultured bacterium
Lineage: Bacteria
Description: bacterial SSU rRNA
Rfam family: Bacterial small subunit ribosomal RNA
Source: RNAcentral
CCUUGACAUCCAGAGAACUUAGCAGAGAUGCUUUGGUGCCUUCGGGAACUCUGAGACAGGUGCUGCAUGGCUGUCGUCAGCUCGUGUUGUGAAAUGUUGGGUUAAGUCCCGCAACGAGCGCAACCCUUAUCCUUUGUUGCCAGCGGUUCGGCCGGGAACUCAAAGGAGACUGCCGGUGAUAAACCGGAGGAAGGUGGGGAUGACGUCAAGUCAUCAUGGCCCUUACGGCCAGGGCUACACACGUGCUACAAUGGCGCAUACAAAGAGAAGCGACCUCGCGAGAGCAAGCGGACCUCAUAAAGUGCGUCGUAGUCCGGAUUGGAGUCUGCAACUCGACUCCAUGAAGUCGGAAUCGCUAGUAAUCGUAGAUCAGAAUGCUACGGUGAAUACGUUCCCGGGCCUUGUACACACCGCCCGUCACACCAUGGGAGUGGGUUGCAAAAGAAGUAGGUAGCUUAACCUUCGGGAGGGCGCUUACCACUUUGUGAUUCAUGACUGGGGUGAAGUCGUAACAAGGUAGGCGUAGACGU